RNAcentral lists this transfer RNA (87 nucleotides) under Brevundimonas phage vB_BpoS-Bambus. RNAcentral describes it as "tRNA-Met". It matches the Rfam family "tRNA". Rfam says of the family: Transfer RNA (tRNA) molecules are approximately 80 nucleotides in length. Their secondary structure includes four short double-helical elements and three loops (D, anti-codon, and T loops). Further hydrogen bonds mediate the characteristic L-shaped molecular structure. tRNAs have two regions of fundamental functional importance: the anti-codon, which is responsible for specific mRNA codon recognition, and the 3' end, to which the tRNAs corresponding amino acid is attached (by aminoacyl-tRNA synthetases). tRNAs cope with the degeneracy of the genetic code in two manners: having more than one tRNA (with a specific anti-codon) for a particular amino acid; and 'wobble' base-pairing, i.e. permitting non-standard base-pairing at the 3rd anti-codon position. RNAcentral also lists the same sequence under 3 other names. Lineage: Duplodnaviria; Heunggongvirae; Uroviricota; Caudoviricetes. The record is from RNAcentral.
GGUGCGGUGGCGCGGCUGGAAUAGGCAGCGGCCUCAUAAGCCGUAGGGGAAACCCUCAUCCUGGUUCGAGUCCAGGUCGCACCUCCA